CCCUUAGAUGUUCUGGGCUGCACACGUGCUACACUGGCAGGUUCAGCGAGCUUCAUGCCCUGAUCUGAAAGGAAUGGGAAAUCUUUUCAAAACCUGCCGUGCUUGGGAUAGAUGUUUGCAAUUAUUCAUCUUCAACGAGGAUUGCCUUGUAAGCGCAUGUCAUCAGCAUGCAUUGAAUACGACCCUGUAUUCUGUACACACCGCCCGUCGCUCCUACCGAUUUCGAGUGAUCCGGUGAAUCAUUCGGACCGCGGCCCCUAGGCAUGCGGAAAGUCUAGUAAACCAUAUCACUUAGAGGAAGGAGAAGUCGUAACA
Molecule: ribosomal RNA, 315 nt
Filed under: uncultured eukaryote
Lineage: Eukaryota
Description: partial 18S ribosomal RNA
Rfam family: Eukaryotic small subunit ribosomal RNA
Source: RNAcentral